CUAAGGUUCGAUUCGAGCGUCAGCGAGAAAGCGUUGCCGCAGGCAACGACCCGAAGGGCGAAGCGCGCAGCGCUGAGUCAUCCUUCCCCCAUCACCA
RNAcentral lists this small RNA (97 nucleotides) under Salmonella enterica. RNAcentral's name for it is "partial RtT sRNA". It matches the Rfam family "RtT RNA", at positions 36 to 130 of the family's 130-position model. Rfam says of the family: This family represents a bacterial cis-regulatory element known as RtT RNA. The exact function of RtT is unknown although it is thought that it may be involved in changing the cellular response in relation to amino acid starvation. RNAcentral also lists the same sequence under 1 other name. Lineage: Bacteria; Pseudomonadati; Pseudomonadota; Gammaproteobacteria; Enterobacterales; Enterobacteriaceae. The record is from RNAcentral.